AACGAACGCUGGCGGCAGGCUUAACACAUGCAAGUCGAACGCCCCACAAGGGGAGUGGCAGACGGGUGAGUAACGCGUGGGAACAUACCCUUUCCUGCGGAAUAGCUCCGGGAAACUGGAAUUAAUACCGCAUACGCCCUACGGGGGAAAGAUUUAUCGGGGAAGGAUUGGCCCGCGUUGGAUUAGCUAGUUGGUGGGGUAAAGGCCUACCAAGGCGACGAUCCAUAGCUGGUCUGAGAGGAUGAUCAGCCACAUUGGGACUGAGACACGGCCCAAACUCCUACGGGAGGCAGCAGUGGGGAAUAUUGGACAAUGGGCGCAAGCCUGAUCCAGCCAUGCCGCGUGAGUGAUGAAGGCCUUAGGGUUGUAAAGCUCUUUCACCGAUGAAGAUAAUGACGGUAGUCGGAGAAGAAGCCCCGGCUAACUUCGUG
RNAcentral lists this ribosomal RNA (431 nucleotides) under uncultured bacterium. RNAcentral describes it as "partial 16S ribosomal RNA". It matches the Rfam family "Bacterial small subunit ribosomal RNA", at positions 29 to 507 of the family's 1533-position model. The record is from RNAcentral.